RNAcentral lists this ribosomal RNA (254 nucleotides) under uncultured archaeon. RNAcentral's name for it is "partial 16S ribosomal RNA". It matches the Rfam family "Archaeal small subunit ribosomal RNA", at positions 727 to 982 of the family's 1478-position model. The record is from RNAcentral.
CAUUAGAUACCCGCGGUAGUCCCAGCCCUAAACGAUGCGCGUUAGGUGUAUCGGUGACCACGAGUCACCGAGGUGCCGAAGGAACCGUGAAACGUGCCGCCUGGGAAGUACGGUCGCAAGGCUGAAACUUAAAGGAAUUGCGGGGGAGCACCACAACGGGUGGAGCCUGCGGUUUAAUUGGACUCAACGCCGGGAAGCUCACCGGAUAAGACAGCGGAAUGAUUGCCGGGCUGAAGACCCUGCAUGACCAGCUG